AUUGAAAGAAGAGAAGAAGAAGAUGCAUAAUCUACACUACUCCACCAAGAAUGUUCUUCUUCUUCUUGUGGCAUUCUUCAUGCUUUGUUUCAUCUCCCCGUAUGUUCAAGGUAAACGAUGCGACUCGACAUACGUACGAACAUCGUUGGUUUGAUACGAUUCAAUCUGUAUUUGUAAAAUCAUAUCAUACGCAUUGAGCCACGGUAAAAUUGAGUAUUAUUUAAUCUGUAUUUGUUACGUUUCAGGGAGGAGAUUGCAAGCAGUAAUAAGUGACGAAAAGCUUGAAGUAGUAGCAGUAGUGGAGAAGAGAGCACAAUACUAAGAAUUUGGUUAAGGAAGUUUCUUCCGUCGGCGGCGAAACCCGACUGUCAAAGUCUGGUCUAGAAAAGUUAGGUGUAGAGGUUCAACACAAACAAACUAAAUUGUCGGAUUCUGUCGACCUAGUCGCGAUGGACUAUAGUCCGAUGAGGAAUAAGCCUCCUGUUCACAAUUAAAUUUGGCCCUACAAGUUACAAAAUCCACUACAUUUCAUGGCCAAAAAUCAAUUUUCCGACUUCAUAGUAAUUAAGAUACAAAUUAAGGCACCAACAAUAUCACAUCAUAUGAUUAUCGAAUCAAUGAAGGUGCAUGAACCAAGCUCUUAUCUAGGGCACGUCAUAAUGGUUUGGAUGAUUGG
RNAcentral lists this long non-coding RNA (676 nucleotides) under Linum usitatissimum (flax). Its description in RNAcentral is "long non-coding RNA (LUSI_LNC008248)". Lineage: Eukaryota; Viridiplantae; Streptophyta; Magnoliopsida; Malpighiales; Linaceae. The record is from RNAcentral.